Lineus longissimus is the source of this 989-nucleotide long non-coding RNA. RefSeq lists it as uncharacterized. Lineage: Eukaryota; Metazoa; Nemertea; Pilidiophora; Heteronemertea; Lineidae. The transcript is spliced from 3 exons. The record is from RefSeq and is a predicted model, not a curated record.
CGGAGAACAUGGCAGGAACACUUCUCCGAUUUCAAACGUAAAAAUGCCUUUAAAUUUGCCGAAACAAAUCAGAACGGCUGCAGCAGAAGAGGUGACUGACCCCUCGGCCCAUGAGGUGUGAGGGAGAAUGAUGAGUGCCAGUUUUCAGAAUGACGAGGUGCAGUGCCCAGUUUAAGCAGGGUCAUGGAACAACUCUUCCCUCCGUGAAAAAACCUCCAUGGAGACAGAAAUAACUCUGGGCCAAGUCUCAGUAGAACCAUACCUUAACCCGAGGUCACCAACCAGGGACACGUUUUCCAGUGGUCAUUCCAUUCUGCUACACUAGGAUGCGAAUCCUACCAAACUGGAGCGUCACCUAUUCACAAAUAUAGUGCCUUCAUAGCUUUUUGUUAGAAAUAUCUUUUUGUAAAACCUAUUAGUGAUUUUUAAAUAUCAACAGAUGAAGAUACCAGUUCAAGUUAAGCAUUUGAAUUUGUCCUAAACAUUUCAAAUGCUAUAUUGAAAGUUUCACAAUCAGUGGUUGUUUGUACAUUUCAUCAUUGGUGCCCGUUCAUAAUCCAGGACAAAAUUUGACACGUCCUUCUUGUGCUGGUCGUUCAAAUUGCAUUAGCCCGUUGAUGAUGUAUUUUAUCGUGGCUUUAGGUUGAUUGGACUUAACUGCAUGAGGUAACGCCUGGUAACUGUCUUGACUUUGUCGGCAACAAGCGGUUCCUGUGAAGUACAAUCAGGACCAAGUGUGUUGUCGCACCACUUUCGCUGUCACAAUCACAUCAACAUUAUCAGGAUGAUCAGGUCACAUAUCGCCGAUACUUCGGAGGAGUCGGGGGAGUGUAAAAGCAGAAAAUUUCCCCUGGAAAAGUGUCCGGGCCUAUUGUAUUCUGUCGGAUUAUGCUAUAAAUGGUUCUGUACAAGAUGCCAUGACCACCAAUAGCUCCAGAUUAAAGUGAGUGAUAGAAUGCUUGGUCCCCGGACAUUCUAUCCCCGGCUGU